This 1099-nucleotide ribosomal RNA is filed under the name uncultured ammonia-oxidizing bacterium. RNAcentral describes it as "bacterial SSU rRNA". It matches the Rfam family "Bacterial small subunit ribosomal RNA", at positions 131 to 1225 of the family's 1533-position model. The record is from RNAcentral.
CUUAAGUGGGGAAUAACGCAUCGAAAGGUGUGCUAAUACCGCAUAAUCUCUGAGGAGAAAAGCAGGGGAUCGCAAGACCUUGCGCUUUUGGAGCGGCCGAUGUCUGAUUAGCUUGUUGGUAAGGUAAAAGCUUACCAAGGCUUCGAUCAGUAGCUGGUCUGAGAGGACGACCAGCCACACUGGGACUGAGACACGGCCCAGACUCCUACGGGAGGCAGCAGUGGGGAAUUUUGGACAAUGGGGGCAACCCUGAUCCAGCCAUGCCGCGUGAGUGAAGAAGGCCUUCGGGUUGUAAAGCUCUUUCAGCCGGAACGAAACGGUUACGGUUAAUACCCGUGACUACUGACGGUACCGGAAGAAGAAGCACCGGCUAACUACGUGCCAGCAGCCGCGGUAAUACGUAGGGUGCGAGCGUUAAUCGGAAUUACUGGGCGUAAAGCGUGCGCAGGUGGUUUUGUAAGUCAGAUGUGAAAUCCCCGGGCUCAACCUGGGAACUGCGUUUGAAACUACAAGGCUAGAGUGUGGCAGAGGGGGGUGGAAUUCCGCGUGUAGCAGUGAAAUGCGUAGAGAUGUGGAGGAACACCGAUGGCGAAGGCAGCCCCCUGGGUCAACACUGACGCUCAGGCACGAAAGCAUGGGGAGCAAACAGGAUUAGAUACCCUGGUAGUCCAUGCCCUAAACGAUGUCAACUAGUUGUCGGGCCUUAACGGGCUUGGUAACGUAGCUAACGCGUGAAGUUGACCGCCUGGGGGAGUACGAUCGCAAGAUUAAAACUCAAAGGAAUUGACGGGGACCCGCACAAGCGGUGGAUUAUGUGGAUUAAUUCGAUGCAACGCGAAAAACCUUACCUACCCUUGACAUGUAUCGAAGCCCGCAGAAAAGCGGGGGUGCCCGAAAGGGAACGAUAACACAGGUGCUGCAUGGCCGUCGUCAGCUCGUGUCGUGAGAUGUUGGGUUAAGUCCCGCAACGAGCGCAACCCUUGUCAUUAAUUGCCAUCAUUUAGUUGGGCACUUUAAUGAGACUGCCGGUGACAAACCGGAGGAAGGUGGGGAUGACGUCAAGUCCUCAUGGCCCUUAUGGGUAGGGCUUCACACGUAA